GACGAACGCUGGCGGCGUGCUUAACACAUGCAAGUCGAACGAAGAGCGAUGGACGCUUGCUUCUAUCAAUCUUAGUGGCGACCGGGUGAGUAACGCGUAAUCAACCUGCCCUUCAGAGGGGGACAACAGUUGGAAACGACUGCUAAUACCGCAUACGAUCUAAUCUCGGCAUCGAGGAUAGAUGAAAGGUGGCCUCUACAUGUAAGCUAUCACUGAAGGAGGGGAUUGCGUCUGAUUAGCUAGUUGGAGGGGUAACGGCCCACCAAGGCGAUGAUCAGUAGACGGUCUGGGAGGAUGAACGGCCACAUUGGGACUGAGACACGGCCCAGACUCCUACGGGAGGCAGCAGUGGGGAAUCUUCCGCAAUGGACGAAAGUCUGACGGAGCAACGCCGCGUGAGCGAUGACGGCCUUCGGGUUGGAAAGCUCUGUUAAUCGGGACGAAAGGCCUUCUUGCGAAUAGUGAGAAGGAUUGACGGUACCGGAAUAGAAAGCCACGGCUAACUACGUG
RNAcentral lists this ribosomal RNA (510 nucleotides) under uncultured bacterium. RNAcentral describes it as "partial 16S ribosomal RNA". It matches the Rfam family "Bacterial small subunit ribosomal RNA", at positions 28 to 507 of the family's 1533-position model. The record is from RNAcentral.